RNAcentral lists this unclassified non-coding RNA (268 nucleotides) under Hevea brasiliensis (rubber tree). Lineage: Eukaryota; Viridiplantae; Streptophyta; Magnoliopsida; Malpighiales; Euphorbiaceae. The record is from RNAcentral.
GUUACUUACAAGAUGAACAGGAGCUUUAAUAUGCUUUACAAGUGAUGAACUACACUGAUUAUCUCUAACAUCAUGUCUAUGAUGUCUCCUAAUAUACUCAUCUUCACUACUAAUUUUUCUAUCAACGUUCAUGAUGCUGACCAUCGCCGGAGAAAAAACAACGGCACCGACAACCUCGUCGACGGCGAAUAAAUCUGGAAAAAAAAAGGGUGGAAAAUGAGAAAAAUUAAUUUAGAAAAAGCCAAAAGACACCGCCAUUAGAACCUCG